This 367-nucleotide unclassified non-coding RNA is filed under the name uncultured fungus. RNAcentral's name for it is "partial contains small subunit ribosomal RNA, internal transcribed spacer 1, and 5.8S ribosomal RNA". The stretch from base 1 to 73 matches the Rfam family "Eukaryotic small subunit ribosomal RNA", at positions 1759 to 1831 of the family's 1831-position model. The record is from RNAcentral. Lineage: Eukaryota; Fungi.
ACAAACUUGGUCAUUUAGAGGAAGUAAAAGUCGUAACAAGGUUUCCGUAGGUGAACCUGCGGAAGGAUCAUUACCGAGUUAGGGUCUCCUCCGUGAGGCCCGACCUCCCAACCCUGUGUCUAAUAAACCUGUAUGUGUUGCUUCGGCGGAACGGCAGUCGGCCCUCCAGGGUGCAGACAGUCGCCGGGGGGUUCACGACCGUGAGGUCGCCCCUGGAGAGUUUUCGCCGAUGGCCCCAACCAAACAAACUCCCAAACCAAAAUUGUAAUACCUAAAACCUUCUGAAUCAAACCCUUUUGAUAUACCAAUCAAAAACAAAACUUUCAACAACGGAUCUCUUGGUUCUGGCAUCGAUGAAGAACGCAGC